This is a long non-coding RNA of Octopus sinensis (East Asian common octopus), 168 nucleotides long. RefSeq lists it as uncharacterized. Lineage: Eukaryota; Metazoa; Mollusca; Cephalopoda; Octopoda; Octopodidae. The transcript has 3 exons. The record is from RefSeq and is a predicted model, not a curated record.
AAUCUUACAGCGAGAGAUAUUCAGCAACAGUACUUUGUAGUAAAGAUUGUUUGCCAACAUAACAUGGCAGUCCUAGUUUAGGACGGAUGUUGCUGUAAUUUAGCCCCAGGAGACAUCGUCUCCAGCUUGCUAUAUGACACGAUCUAUGUCCUUAUAUUUUCAAAAAAA